Molecule: ribosomal RNA, 396 nt
Filed under: uncultured bacterium
Lineage: Bacteria
Description: partial 16S ribosomal RNA
Rfam family: Bacterial small subunit ribosomal RNA
Source: RNAcentral
CCUACGGGUGGCUGCAGUGAGGAAUAUUGGUCAAUGGGCGCGAGCCUGAACCAGCCAAGUCGCGUGAAGGAAGACGGUCCUAUGGAUUGUACACUUCUUUUACAGAGGAGUAAAAUGCGGUACGUGUACCUCAUCGAGUGUACUCGAAGAAAAAGCAUCGGCUAACUCCGUGCCAGCAGCCGCGGUAAUACGGAAAAUCCGAGCGUUAUCCGGAUUUAUUGGGUUUAAAGGGGGCGUAGAUGGGUGGUUAAGUCAGUUGUGAAAUUUUGGGGGUCAAACCACGAAAUGCCAUUGAUACUGGCUGGUUUGAGUGAAGGAGAGGUAGGCGGAAUGCGUGGUGUAGCGGUGAAAUGCAUAGAUAUCACGAAGAACUCCGAUUGCGAAGGCAGCAUACCG